This 628-nucleotide long non-coding RNA is filed under the name Vigna radiata. Its description in RNAcentral is "long non-coding RNA (VRAD_LNC005113)". The record is from RNAcentral. Lineage: Eukaryota; Viridiplantae; Streptophyta; Magnoliopsida; Fabales; Fabaceae.
GGGUAGGACAGUUAAUUGUAUUUGCUUCCGAACGCAUUGCAUUAUUGGUUACUAGGGGAGGCUAGGGAUAACAAGCCGGUAAUUAAUAAUAGGCUCUUUUCACCAAGGGAUUGGGUUAAGGGUAAAUAAGAAAGUAUGCAUGGCAAUUAGAUAAAUAAGUGAAUUAAAUAAGAAGAGUAGAUAUAUGAGAGUGAAUAAGAUGAAAUUGUAAACCCCAACAACACCAUUCAUCCAUAGUUUCUCAAAACCAAUUGAAUCAACUGCAUUGCAUGUUUAUUUCUGUUCUUUGCAUAUAACCACCAAAUUCAUUCUUGUCUCAAGUCUUACAAUAUUUGUUUACAUGAAAGUUAAGGCCUAAGAGUCCUUUGGGAAAACGAUUCUCGGACUUACACGUUUAUAUUACUUGAUAACGAUCUGGUACACUUGCCAGGGACUUAACAAGUUUUUGGCGCCGUUGUUGGGGACUCGUGGUUUAACUUAUCUAGUAGUGUAAACUGAUUAACUUUGACUUGAUUGUAUAUAUCUUAUUUUUUUUAUCUUUUUAUUUUUAUUUCUUUUAUUUUUUCUAUAAAAUAUAAAAAAAGUGCUACUAGGGUUUGUGUUUCUUGUGCAUGCAGCAGGAGCCCUG